GACGAACGCUGGCGGCGUGCCUAAUACAUGCAAGUAGAACGCACAGUUUAUACCGUCUCUUGCUACACCAUAAACUGUGAGUUGCGAACGGGUGAGUAACGCGUAUGUAAUCUGCCUUGUAGCGUGGGGUAACUAUUGUAAACGAUAGCUAAUACCGCAUAAUCUUGAUUAUUCCAUGAUAAUUGAUUGAAAGAUGCUAUUGCAUCACUACUAGCUGGACCUGCGUUGUAUUAGCUAGUAGGUGAGGUAACGGCUCACCUAUGCGUAGAUACAUAGCCGAGCUGGGAGGGAGAUCGGCCAACAUGGGAAUGAGACAAGGCCCAGAAUCCUAAGGGAGGGAGCAGGAGGGAAACAUCGGCAAAGGACGAAAGGCUGACCGAGCAACGCCGCGUGAGUGAAGAAGGUUUUCGGAUCGUAAAGCUCUGUUGUAAGAGAAGAACGGGUGGGAGAGUGGAAAGUUCACACUGUGACGGUAUCUUAACAGAAAGCGACGGCUAACUACGUG
This 505-nucleotide ribosomal RNA is filed under the name uncultured bacterium. RNAcentral describes it as "partial 16S ribosomal RNA". It matches the Rfam family "Bacterial small subunit ribosomal RNA", at positions 28 to 507 of the family's 1533-position model. The record is from RNAcentral.